This 581-nucleotide small RNA is filed under the name Drosophila mojavensis. Its description in RNAcentral is "GI26914". Lineage: Eukaryota; Metazoa; Arthropoda; Insecta; Diptera; Drosophilidae. The record is from RNAcentral.
UUUCAUAUACCUCAAACAAAUCAGAAGUGUUUCAGCACUUCAAAAGUUUUUUCUUUUUGUUAUUUUUUCUUUUUGAAAAAUAACGCACCGAUUUGCCAGCUGUGAAACGGAAUUCUAGCCGCUCAAAGCAACAAAUCACCAUGGACGGAUACUCUCAAUAUAACAAUUCCCAGUUCGGCUCCAGGCAAUGCUUUAAUUGUCCGAACGGCAAUUGUUCCCGCAUGGGUGGAUCACCGCCAUCGGGUUGCCCCGGUGGCAAUUGCUGUCCUGGUGGCUUUUGUAUGCGCGACAGACCCAUUGCACAGCCAUCGUGGCAUACGAACCAUGGACGUCAGCAAUAAGGAGCUGGACGCAUCCAUUUCUGGCAAAUCGGCGCGUGAUUUCAACUAAAUAGAAUCGCACAUUCUGAAUCAGACACAUCUCUCAUCACUGGAUGGCAACUUUGUUUAGUCAAUAAGAUACACUUUUUUUAAUGGACCAAAAACGUUAACAACACAACGACACAGAGCACACAACACAUACACAUUAUUACAUAUGUAUGUGGAUCUCAUGGGAGAAAAGAAUAAAAACUAUGGAAUUUA